RNAcentral lists this long non-coding RNA (413 nucleotides) under Vitis vinifera (wine grape). RNAcentral's name for it is "long non-coding RNA (VVIN_LNC008060)". The record is from RNAcentral. Lineage: Eukaryota; Viridiplantae; Streptophyta; Magnoliopsida; Vitales; Vitaceae.
CAUCCAUAGAGCAGGCACUGUCAAGGCUUGCAUAUGAAUCUAGAUUGUGCUAUCCUUUGAACUGCUUUGUCUUUCAAUAUACUUAUUUCAACUGGAUUUGUGCAUAAUUACCUCCAAUUACUUGUAAUUUGUACAAUAGCAUGGACCAUGUCUCAUUUGAUACGAGAAGAAUAUGAAAAAGGUUGUUUUAUUUCUAACGGUCAUUGAUAUUUUUUCUAUUUUGAGAAUGAUUAUGACCUCCAUGGUGUUCGGAUCAUCCCUCCCCUAGCCAUGUCAGCAUCCUCAUUCACGAUCAUGGCCACAUCCACACCAUAGAAUGUAGUAACAUUCGUAAUGACAUAGAAUCGAUUAAAUAGGAAUGAUGAUUUUUCAAUAAAAGUUUAUUAUUUUUCUUCAAUCAUAUGAAGACAUUA